AUUGAACGCUGGCGGCAUGCCUUACACAUGCAAGUCGAACGGUAACGGGCCUUCGGGUGCCGACGAGUGGCGAACGGGUGAGUAAUACAUCGGAACGUGCCCGAUCGUGGGGGAUAACGAGGCGAAAGCUUUGCUAAUACCGCAUACGAUCUACGGAUGAAAGCAGGGGACCGCAAGGCCUUGCGCGGACGGAGCGGCCGAUGGCAGAUUAGGUAGUUGGUGGGAUAAAAGCUUACCAAGCCGACGAUCUGUAGCUGGUCUGAGAGGAUGAUCAGCCACACUGAGACUGAGACACGGCCCAGACUCCUACGGGAGGCAGCAGUGGGGAAUUUUGGACAAUGGGCGCAAGCCUGAUCCAGCCAUGCCGCGUGCAGGAUGAAGGCCUUCGGGUUGUAAACUGCUUUUGUACGGAACGAAAAGUCUUCUUUUAAUACAGGAGGGUCAUGACGGUACCGUAAGAAUAAGCACCGGCUAACUACGUG
RNAcentral lists this ribosomal RNA (482 nucleotides) under uncultured bacterium. Its description in RNAcentral is "partial 16S ribosomal RNA". It matches the Rfam family "Bacterial small subunit ribosomal RNA", at positions 30 to 507 of the family's 1533-position model. The record is from RNAcentral.